AGCAGCCGCGGUAAUUCCAGCUCCAAUAGCGUAUAUUAAAGUUGUUGCAGUUAAAAAGCUCGUAGUUGAACCUUAGGCCCGUGCGGGCGGUCCGUCCUCUGGGCGAGCACUGCUUCGUCGCGGGUCUCACCUUCUGGCGAGCGUGGAUGCCAUUUAUUUGGUGUCCGCGGGAACCAGGACCUUUACCUUGAAAAAAUUAGAGUGCUCAAAGCGGGCUCCGACGCUUGAAUACAUUAGCAUGGAAUAAUGAAAUAGGACGAUGGUUCUAUUUUGUUGGUUUCCGGGACGGUCGUAAUGAUUAAUAGGGAUAGUUGGGGGCAUUCGUAUUCAAUUGUCAGAGGUGAAAUUCUUGGAUUUAUUGAAGACGAACUACUGCGAAAGCAUUUGCCAAGGAUGUUUUCAUUAAUCAAGAACGAAAGUUGGGGGAUCGAAGACGAUCAGAUACCGUCGUAGUCUCAACC
RNAcentral lists this ribosomal RNA (461 nucleotides) under uncultured Paraglomus. Its description in RNAcentral is "SSU rRNA". It matches the Rfam family "Eukaryotic small subunit ribosomal RNA", at positions 569 to 1031 of the family's 1831-position model. The record is from RNAcentral. Lineage: Eukaryota; Fungi; Glomeromycota; Glomeromycetes; Paraglomerales; Paraglomeraceae.